This 267-nucleotide unclassified non-coding RNA is filed under the name fungal sp. RNAcentral's name for it is "partial internal transcribed spacer region". The stretch from base 1 to 46 matches the Rfam family "Eukaryotic small subunit ribosomal RNA", at positions 1786 to 1831 of the family's 1831-position model. The record is from RNAcentral. Lineage: Eukaryota; Fungi.
AAGUCGUAACAAGGUUUCCGUAGGUGAACCUGCGGAAGGAUCAUUAAAUUCAGUAGCUUGCUACUGUUAGGGGGGUCUAUUAGUCUGUAUAGUAUCAUUACUGAUGAGCAGCACGACCCUCUGUCUAUACCCUUGUCUUUUGCGCACUCAUGUUUCCUCGGCGGCUUGAUACCCGCCGGCUGGAUCAAUCUAUAACCUUUUUAAUUUUCAAUCAGCGUCUGAAAAACCUAAUAAUUACAACUUUCAACAACGGAUCUCUUGGUUCUG